Molecule: long non-coding RNA, 242 nt
Filed under: Elaeis guineensis (African oil palm)
Lineage: Eukaryota; Viridiplantae; Streptophyta; Magnoliopsida; Arecales; Arecaceae
Description: long non-coding RNA (EGUI_LNC029469)
Source: RNAcentral
CAUUCAGUCGGGUCUUCAGUCCAUGCAGAAUGGCUCAGUUGGUUACUUCGACCUCACUGUUGGACUGUGGAUGCCCGAUCGAGGUCAGCCUGUGCGCGAUAUGAAAUCUCGCACAGAACUCUCGAAAGUCUCGAUUGUCGAAUUAUCGUCCAUUGUCGGUGAUAAUAGUGUGCGGUAGUCCGAACCUGAAGAUGAUGGACUUCUGGACGAAAUCUUACAUCUUCCGCUCGGUGAUCUGCGCC